AUGUUACAUUCCCCCAUGCAGGGUGUGGGGGUUCCAGUGAAUACACAUCCUUCCCUGCACUGGCAUGGUCCGUCCUGUACAUUCCAGUCUUUCCAGGUGGCGCUCAGUCCUUCCAGGUGGUGCUCAAUCCUUCCAGGAGGUACUGAGUCCUUCCAGGGGGUGCUCAGUCAUUCCAGGGGAUGCUCAGUCCUUCUAGGGAGUGCUCAGUCCUUCCAGGGGGUGCUCAGUCCUUCCAGGGGGUGCUCAGUCCUUCCAGAAGGUGCUCAUUCUUUCCAGGAAGUGCUCAGUCCUUCGUGGGGGUGCUCAGUCCUUCCAGUGGGUACUCAGUCCUUCCAGGAGGUGCUCAGUCCUUCCAGGGGGUGCUCAGUCCUUCCUGGGGGUGCUCAGUCCUUCCAGGAGGUGCCUGUGGUCCUCCAGGGAGUGUCUAGUCCUUCCUGGGAUGCUCAGUCCUUCCUGGGGUUGCUCAGUCCUUCCAGGGGUGCCUCAGUCCUUCCAGGGGGUGCUCAGUCCUUCCAGGAGGUGCUCAGUCCUUCCUGGGGGUGCUCAGUCCUUCCUGGGGGAUGCUCAGUCCUUCCAGGAGGUGCACAGCACUGUCCACUGUGGUUUGAAGUUGUGUUUCCUUGAUGAUGAAUGGUGCUGAGCAUCCAGUGUGUGCCUUACCUGGUCAGCCUGUGGUACUCUUUGGGGAAGUCUGUUCCAAUCCCUUGUCUCACAGGACUGUUCUUCUCUAUAUUUGGCUACACAGUUGCCAUUCUGGUGCUAUUUCUUUACUGUUGUGUCCAUUUGAUACAACUUUCCUUCUGCUUACAGAGUUUACUUUAACCUUACUUAACAUGUUGAGGAUGUUGAGGCAAGAGAAUAGGGAAUUAGGGUAACCAAGGGUUAAGGCAGAAGCAAAAGAGCAGCAGGCUCCGCCAGUUCCAGGCAAGACUGGGCAGCACACAGGCCGCAUCCCACCCCUGCGAUGACAAGACAGAAGCCUCCACGUCAGCCUCUGAUUGGCCACAGAUCAAUCCUUCAUAGGGUGUAACCAAUGGGAGGCCUCUAAAGGGCGCCUGGGGGUGUUACCAAAUAUUUUUGCUUUACAAAAACCCUGGGGAGCAUUGCAAGGUGGGGAUGGUGUCUUGAGCCACUUGCUCGAGCCCACUCCCGCUCUGCGGAACGUACUUCCGCCUCAAUGUAGCUGUGCUUUCGACUCAGCAAAACAGAAAUCAUGUUCCAAAUACGCACAAUGCUAAGAACAAACAGGAACACGCAUGACCUGCCACUGCAGCUGCACGUAUGAUUGGUUAUCCGGGGCCAAAAGGCCAUUCCCAGUAAGACUUUGGAAAUAUAUGUGUCUGCUUUUUAUAAUUGCUCCAUAUAUUGUGUUAUCAGACAAGAUAGUUAUUUAAGAAAUGGGAAUUGCAGAAAUGACUGCAGUGCAGCAGUAAUUAUGGUGCACUGUUUCGCUAUUUAACUUGGCUAGUUCUCCACGCUUGAAACAAUUCUGUGCCUUUUUUUUUUUAAUAGUAGAAAAUGCAGGCAAUGUUUUCACAAAAGUAAAUGUACAGUGAUUUGAAAUACAAUAGAUGAAGGCAAUGCAUGGCCUUCCAGUAAAAAUUUUAAAAAUAAAUAAAUAAAAAUCUGUGCUUUCGUUACCCCGUUCUUUCAUUGCUUGUCUUUCAUUGCUUCGUUCUUUUGUUGCUUUGUUUGUGCAUUUUGUUCAAUUCUUUGUUCAACACACCAAGAACCUGGACAACCCACAGUCAAGACAUUCUACCUGGUAACCAUGGGACAUCACUUUAACAAUUUCCGGGGGACGUGUCUGACGGCGAUGAACUCUUCCAAUUUUUGUGUUUCUGAAAAACUAAUUUCAUUCUUUUCUAAAGAAAAAAAUGUUUUCAUUGGGUAAAGAAUUUUAAAUUGGCUGGGCGCGGUGGCUCACACCUAUAAUCCCAGCACUUUGAGAGGCCAAGGCAGGUGGAUCACCUGAUGUCAGGAGUUCAAGACCAGCCUGGCUAACAUGGCAAAAUCCUGUCUUUACUAAAAAUUAACUGAGCGUGGUGGCACAUGCCUGUGAUCCCAGCUACUCAGGAGGCUGAGGCAUGAGAAUUGUUUGAACCCAGGAGGCGGAGGUUACAGUGAGCCAAAAUCGCGCACCAUUGCACUCCAGCCUGGACGACAGAGUGAGAGGGGAGCAACUGGGGGCUGGGCUAAAGGAGGCUUUGGCUGAGCCCCUCCGUGCCCAGGGUACAACAAGUGUCAGGACAGUACACAGGGACUUGCCUUAGGAAAGCCCACCCAGCCAGGUGCACGACUUGCAUGAAGAAGAUCAGAAAGUUUACUGAGGCACGGGAAGACUUCUUCCGGAGAUGGAAAGGAGACAAGCGCCCUGGACCACACUCUCCUCAGCGAUGGCCUGGAAGCCUCAGCCUGUACAGAAAGAAAGAAGAAAUAAAAGAUGUAAGGGUUGGAAGGGAAAAAAAUAAAGCUGUGGUUGUUCAUGGAUGACACAGCUGCAUACAGAGGAAUGCCUCAAGAAUAGAUAAACAACCUGUUAGAAUUAAUCAGUGGAGUUAUAAGGUCACUGGGGACAAGGUCAAUAUACCCAAAAAAAAUCCAUCAAGUGCUUGUAGACUAGCACAAACAGAACACAAAUUUUAAAAUUAUAUACCAUUUACAACAGUAUCUGUAUUAGUCAUUUUCAUACUGCUAUGAAGAAAUAUCCAAGAUGGGUAAUUUAUGAAGAAAAAGAGGUUUAAUGGACUCACAGUUCCACUUGGCUGAAGACACCUCACAAUCAUGCUGGAAGGUGGAGGAGAAACAAAGUCAUGUCCUACAUGGCGGCAGGCAAGAGAGUGUGUGCAGGGAAACUGCCCUUUAUGAAACCAUCAGAUCUCGUGAGACUUAUUCACUAUCACAAGAACAGCACGGGAAAAAUCCACCCCCAUGAUUAAGGUACCUCCCACCAGGACCCUCCCACACCACAAGUUGAUUAUGGGAGCUACAAUUCAAGAUGAGAUUUGGGUGGGGACACAACCAAACCAUAUCAGCAUCCAAAUAUUUAGAAACAAAUCUAACUGGAGAUGUGAAAGACCUCCACCUGCAAACUACACAGUGAAAUUAAACCCGUAAGUAAAUGGUUAUGCCAUAUUCCUGGAUUAGAAAAUUCAAUACUGUAAAAUGUCAGUUCUCCCCAAAUCAAUUUCUAGAUUCAAUGCAAUCCCAGUAAAAUUCCAAGUUGAGUUUGUUUAGGGUGGUUUUGUUUGUUUGUUUGGAGACAGGGUCUUGCUCUCAAGACCCUACGUCCUGGACAGGGUCCACCUAGGCUGGAGUACAGUGGCAUGAUCACAGCUCACUGCAACCUUGAAUUCCUGGGCUGGGGUGAUCCCACUUCAGCCUCCUGAGUAGCUGGGACUACAGGCACACACAAAAAUUUUUGUAUUUUUUAUAUAGACAGGAUCUUGCCUUGUUGCCCAGACUGGUCUCAAACGGCCAGGCUCGAGCGAUCCUCCCACCUCAGCCUCCCCAAGUGCUGGGAUUACAGGCAUGAGCUACCGCAAUAGGCCAAGUUUUUGUUGUUGUUUUUUGUUUUGUUUUGUUUUAAACUGAGCUGAGAAACUUCAAGUCACGGCUGGAGAAGAGUCAAGAUGGGUCCGGCCCCACCUCACCCCCACAGAGCCUCCUUGGCUUUAGGAAGGGCAGGGGUCCUUUCUCAGGCACUGGUGGCUGUGCUUUAAGCUACUGUGGUGGAGGCUGAGCCAGUCUCCCACCCACCUGGCUACCAGGAAGCCUCGAGUCUGUCCCUGCAGUCCCUCCUCCUGGGAGCUGCUGACCAAUCUAGGGUGUCCCCACCUGUUUUGCUUUCUGGGAAGAGUCUCCUCUCUGAGAAGCAAGACCCCCUAGAGAUGUGGUCGAUGCUGGCUCCGCCUGCCUGCCCUGCCCUGCCUGCACACCGUUCCGGGUGUCACCACCCCAGGCGACUGCAGGACCCUGGAUGCCCUGAGGUCCGAGAAGGCGGGAGGUCCCUGAGUCUUUUACUCCCCGGAGAUGAGCCUUCGUGGGGUUCUCAGGCCUGCUUCCUCCUGGGCCCCUUUUUCCUUUUUACUUCUACCUGGGGGUUGUGGUGCCGAAUGCCUCUUGGGUUCCAACGUCUGGUGCCGUCUCAGGAGUUCCACCGGCAGCCACCCGACGUGCGGUGACUGUAACAGGUUUGUGACCCCUGCCCUCCCCGCACGGCCUGGCACAUCGGCAGCCCUCCCGCGAGUCAGCUUGGGUGACUGUGACUGCCCUGGGCUCUAAACCCGGGGGUAUGGGCCAGGCGUCUGCCUGGGGAGGUGUGGACAGACGCAGGCAGGGUGGGGGGAGGCGGAUGUGUCCCCCACGAAGGACGCGGGGCGCGCGGGGCCUCCAGUCCCCGGCACCCUCCACCCCGAGCCCACGUCCCCACACGUGUCGUGCCCCGCCUCCCCAGCCUCCUGGGCCCCCAGCCGCCCCCGCGUCCUUUCCUACUGCCCCCCACCGUGCUUCCCAACUGCCCCCCACCGUGCACCCGGCAUCCCAGGCGCAGGUGCCCCGCCCCGGGCCUUACUCACGGAGUGGAGCCUGCUCGCCUCCCCGGACCCCUGCGCCUGGCUCCUCCUUGGCUCCCACGAGGCACAGCCUGUGUCCGCCCCAGCCCGCCGCGAACUCGCGCUGCAACCUGCCGCCUCGGCCCUGCCCCCAGGCCCGCCCCCGGCCCCGCCCCCAGCCCUCUGGCCCCGCCCCGCCCCUCUGGCCCCGCCCCUCCCCUGGCCCGCGGGGCGGCCGCGUGUUUUCUGUUCCCGUCUCUGCGGCCAGGUGGGGGCGAGUGCUCUGAGGUCAACCCUCGGCCACCUGGGAGCUGAGCGGUGCUG
RNAcentral lists this long non-coding RNA (4877 nucleotides) under Papio anubis (olive baboon). Its description in RNAcentral is "lncRNA (ENSPANG00000036909.1)". Lineage: Eukaryota; Metazoa; Chordata; Mammalia; Primates; Cercopithecidae. The record is from RNAcentral.